GACGAACGCUGGCGGCGUGCUUAACACAUGCAAGUCGAACGGAAAGGCCCUGCUUGCAGGGUACUCGAGUGGCGAACGGGUGAGUAACACGCGGGUGUUCUGCCCUGCACUUCGGGGUAUGCCUUGGAGACUCUGGCUAAUAUCGCAGAGGAGCCCUCCUGCUGCUGGUGGUUGGAAAGAAUUUUCGGUGUAGUAUGAGCUCGCGGCCUUUCUGUCUGUUGGUGGGGGAAUGGGCUACCAAGGCGGCGUCGGGUAGCUGGCCGGCGAGGGUGGACGGCCACAUUGGGAAUGAGAUACGGGCCAGACUCCUACGGGAGGCAGCAGAGGGGAAUAUUGCACAAUGGGCGCAAGCCUGAUGCGGCGAAGCCGCGUGGGGGAGGACGGCCCUCGGGUUGUAAACUCCUUUCGCUAGGGACGAAGCUUUUUGUGACGGUACCUGGAUAAGAAGCACCGGCUAACUACGUG
RNAcentral lists this ribosomal RNA (465 nucleotides) under uncultured bacterium. RNAcentral describes it as "partial 16S ribosomal RNA". It matches the Rfam family "Bacterial small subunit ribosomal RNA", at positions 28 to 507 of the family's 1533-position model. The record is from RNAcentral.